Molecule: long non-coding RNA, 239 nt
Filed under: Fragaria vesca (wild strawberry)
Lineage: Eukaryota; Viridiplantae; Streptophyta; Magnoliopsida; Rosales; Rosaceae
Description: long non-coding RNA (FVES_LNC005383)
Source: RNAcentral
CAUCCAAAACCCUAACCCUAACCGCCAAAACCACCUCAAUCAAAUCCGCCGCCCCAUCCUCCUCCGAUCUCUCCACCACCACCGUGACCACCACCACCACCACCUCCAUCUCCACCACCCCCCAAACCCUCAAGUCCCGCCUCCAAAACGGCGACACUCUCUACGGCAUCUUCCUCCUCAGCUUCUCCCCCACCCUCGCCGAGAUCGCCGGCCUCUCCGGCUACGACUUCGUCGUCGUC